Long non-coding RNA from Harpia harpyja (harpy eagle), 3143 nucleotides. RefSeq lists it as uncharacterized. The record is from RefSeq and is a predicted model, not a curated record. The transcript has 2 exons. NCBI's taxonomy places the organism in Eukaryota, Metazoa, Chordata, Aves, Accipitriformes, Accipitridae.
CCUGUCAUCGCAUCCCUUCUCAGAGAUGUCUGCGGGAGCAAGGGCUGCAGGAAAGGGGGAAAAACCCGACCUGUCUGGAUAAUCUUGGAAAUCAAAAUGCUGUGCUUCAGAGGAGUGGCACGCGUGGUUUCCCCGCAGGGCUACAUUCGUAACGGGAUUACAGCACCCAACUCCAGUUUAAGCCCAGCCUGAGGAGGUCCCAGCCUGCGGGGAGCUGACGCUGACUCCGGGGAGGCAUACAUGAAGUGUACUGUGGUGCACAUCAAAGCAGGACUCCAGCCUGCACAGGGAAAACUGAAGAGGAACAGCAACAGAGGGCUCAGAAAUGGAGAGGAAGACCCGCUCCAGGGAGCUGGACUAGUCAUGUUGAGGGCCUGGGCACCUGGACCCACCACCUUGCAUGCAAGAAGAGCAGGGGUGGCUGCAGCGGUUGAACAUGGAUGCAGCCAGUGCUCGGGAGCGGUGCAGGCACUGGUGAGAUGGUCCCUGGCGAGAUGGGCUGCUGACAGCCAGGGCUUCUUGUGGUCAGGGUCUCCAGUAUGGAAGAAUUGGAAGACAGUGGGGAACAUGCAUCUGAUGUUGUCAGGCUUGGCCAGAGCCAGGUGCCAACUGAGGGAGUAGGUCAGGGAGUGUGCUUCUUACUCAUCCACUCACGCAGCAAAACAUUUUCUUGAUGGGAGGAGCUGGUUUGGUCAUAGGACCUUGUUUGCCACUGACUUGUGACUUGCACUAGCUUGGCCCCACUUACUAUGCAUUUGUUUUUCCUUCCUCCCACGUUUAAGUACUGGUUUUGAACACAAUUGAGUGGCUUUUAUUUAUCAGUUAAUGAUGGAGCAGUUAGAUAACUGAGUCCCCAAUCUCACAACCUCCUUUAAGUCAGGUGGCACUGCUGCUCUCUGAGGGCAUGUCAGAUCUGUGUGAGAUGAGGUUGAAUUUUUGUGUUUGGAAAAGUCACACAUUUUUCCUUAGUCCCCCUGAAAGUGGCUACCCUUUCAGUCUCCCUGGGUUUCAGUGAACGUAAGCCUAUGUUGCUGGAGACAGCCGUAGGAAUUUGGAUGCCCACACACCUGCUGAAGAGGCAGUUUUGCUGGGACUUUUGUCUCCUUCCAGCACUUCCACAUCUUGAUAUCACCCCACUGCUGACAGUAGAGCCACCACAUUAUUUGCUCUAUGCCCUUUCCUGGGAGAUCACUAUCUCCUAUGCUUGGUGUGGCCUGUGCUUGUCCUCCCAUUCACUAUAGCUGUUCUGGGGGUAACUCAGCAGGGAGAUGUAGACUACCAUGGGAAGUCUCCUGUUGUUCUUCAUGGUCUGCAGCAGGUAGGAAGCAAGGACUUGUACCACCCCAGCAGUUAAAAGCAGUGGCUAUGCUGCACUGCUUCCUUCGGUUCAAUGCUUCCUUGAUGUCCCUUUCUUCCUUCCCCAUCUCCCACUCUUGCAACCAAUGUGUAGUAGAGUAGCCCUGAGGAAGACAGCUGAGCUGCGAGGGCAUACUGCCUUUUCCAGCACCCGUGGCACGCAGCCACUAUCUGACCAUAAGCUCCUGAAGACCAGCGAGGAACUGCCUUCCAGCGGGUCAGGCUGCCUUGCUCAGGGCUUGAAAUGGCUGAUCCUGGGCCUUUCUUCCAGCAUUAGGUAUACCCACCUGGUAUAUCAUUUGUGCCUUGAAUGCUGCAAGUUGGGCAAGCUUUCUGAACUGACUCUGCACCCUGGUGGGUAAGCUUGAUGUCAUUGGUGCAUAGGAAAAAACAGCUAAGGCCUCUGGGAGAGAGAGGGAGAGCUGGCUUCAAAUUCAUGCUUUAUCCAGUCUGGAGCAAGGUCUGAAAUCCCAGACUGUCAAGUGAGUGUGUGGACUUCUGGAGGCGUUUUUCCAUCCCACUUUUCCAAUAGUGCUUGCACCAGCUGCAUGCAGAGGACUGGCGCACUGAGUGGAACAAGGACUGUAACACGGAUCUUCCAGAUGUGUACUCUAGCUCUAGAUUAGCUAUAAAAAUCUCCCUAAUUUACCUGAGAUUAAAUUAUUAUAUACAGAUGAAAGAACAUAAAGAAUAAAACUGAGAAUAUUGUUAUUUUCUUUGAUAAUGCUUGCCAUAGAUAAACACUGGCAUUUUAUACUUAGUAAUAUAGUGGGCACAUUUUGCUCCUAUAAAACCAAAGCAUUAUUUAAUAAGAGGCAGCCUUUUACCUUGGAGCAAACAGAACUUUGGUAUUGCUGAUAGUUGUAUCUGAACAGCGUAAUCAGGGAAGCCUUGUAAUCAUGCUGUUAGAAAACUAAAAUAAGCUUAAGUUGUACAUUUUGUGGGAUUACAAUCCCUCCAUCCACUAGGUGGAGUGGGAUCCGGGAAUGGCUGAGACAAGCUUGUGUGCCACACAACGUCAGGUAACAGCAGAGAAACAAAAGCAAAAAGGGAAGUUUUCAAAUAGUAUUGAGCAAAAUAGCUGUAUUAACUUGCCAGUCAACAUAGAUACAGGAGGGGAUAUUCCAUUUAGAAAUUAGAUCGGCAUAUUUCACAUAAAGUAGAAAGGAAAAUUUUGAUUACGAGAAAUGCCUUUUUUCAGUAUGGUGAUGUUACUCUUUUCUUUCUUUUUUAAAAUUUCUAGACCCAAGUACAAUUAGAUCUUGCAUGAAUACUAAGGAGAAAAUACUAACUUACUUUAUUAAGAUACAUAUCUUCGGCAUGCUAUAUUAACUCGAUUUAAUUGUUUUCUGAAAUAUGAGCUGCAUUAUAGUUUUAUUCAUAUCUGUUACCCAAGAUUGUUACAUUAGUGACUGUCAUCACAUUAUUCCCAUCUAAAAGACCGCAAUUCCAAGCUGGACCAGCACUGCUUUCUUGGUUGGGUAGCAUGCUGUUUUUUGGGAAAGAUGCGGACACCUGAAAGGCGUGGAUCUUUGUUGGGAGGGAGAUGCAGAAAUCGCACGGUCCUGGAAACUCCUGGCCUGCACCAGAUGUGCCAGACUGGUGCAGAAGGAGGUGUCACGGGAGGGGAUUGGUGUUCCGACCUUGAGCCAGACAACUGGGGUCUAGUUCAAAAUAUUUAUUAAUUUAUUUAAACCAGCAUACAUUCAUAUCAUGGCCUGUGUUUUGUUCUUGUUCCUCCUCCCUACCCUUUGAAAUAACUCAAAUUUAAAAAGAGUAGGCAUGAA